UUUUAGAGUUUUGAUCCUGGCUCAGAUUGAACGCUGGCGGCAGGCCUAACACAUGCAAGUCGAGCGGAUGAAGGGAGCUUGCUCCUGGAUUCAGCGGCGGACGGGUGAGUAAUGCCUAGGAAUCUGCCUGGUAGUGGGGGAUACCGUCCGGAAACGGGCGCUAAUCCCGCAUACGUCCUGAGGGAGAAAGUGGGGGAUCUUCGGACCUCACGCUAUCAGAUGAGCCUAGGUCGGAUUAGCUAGUUGGUGGGGUAAAGGCCUACCAAGGCGACGAUCCGUAACUGGUCUGAGAGGAUGAUCAGUCACACUGGAACUGAGACACGGUCCAGACUCCUACGGGAGGCAGCAGUGGGGAAUAUUGGACAAUGGGCGAAAGCCUGAUCCAGCCAUCCCGCGUGUGUGAAGAAGGUCUUCGGAUUGUAAAGCACUUUAAGUUGGGAGGAAGGGCAGUAAGUUAAUACCUUGCUGUUUUGACGUUACCAACAGAAUAAGCACCGGCUAACUUCGUGCCAGCAGCCGCGGUAAUACGAAGGGUGCAAGCGUUAAUCGGAAUUACUGGGCGUAAAGCGCGCGUAGGUGGUUCAGCAAGUUGGAUGUGAAAUCCCCGGGCUCAACCUGGGAACUGCAUCCAAAACUACUGAGCUAGAGUACGGUAGAGGGGGUCGGC
RNAcentral lists this ribosomal RNA (667 nucleotides) under Pseudomonas aeruginosa. Its description in RNAcentral is "bacterial SSU rRNA". It matches the Rfam family "Bacterial small subunit ribosomal RNA", at positions 1 to 665 of the family's 1533-position model. The record is from RNAcentral. Lineage: Bacteria; Pseudomonadati; Pseudomonadota; Gammaproteobacteria; Pseudomonadales; Pseudomonadaceae.